GGGGAAUUAGCUCAAAGGUAGAGCAACCCAUUGAAAUUGGGAAAGUUAGGGGUUCGAAUCCCCUAUUCUCCA
This is a transfer RNA of Mycoplasma sp. CAG:776, 72 nucleotides long. It matches the Rfam family "tRNA". From Rfam's summary of the family: Transfer RNA (tRNA) molecules are approximately 80 nucleotides in length. Their secondary structure includes four short double-helical elements and three loops (D, anti-codon, and T loops). Further hydrogen bonds mediate the characteristic L-shaped molecular structure. tRNAs have two regions of fundamental functional importance: the anti-codon, which is responsible for specific mRNA codon recognition, and the 3' end, to which the tRNAs corresponding amino acid is attached (by aminoacyl-tRNA synthetases). tRNAs cope with the degeneracy of the genetic code in two manners: having more than one tRNA (with a specific anti-codon) for a particular amino acid; and 'wobble' base-pairing, i.e. permitting non-standard base-pairing at the 3rd anti-codon position. Lineage: Bacteria; Bacillati; Mycoplasmatota; Mollicutes; Mycoplasmatales; Mycoplasmataceae. The record is from Rfam.